MicroRNA precursor from Monodelphis domestica (gray short-tailed opossum), 58 nucleotides. NCBI's taxonomy places the organism in Eukaryota, Metazoa, Chordata, Mammalia, Didelphimorphia, Didelphidae. The record is from Ensembl.
UAAGAUCACAGAGUCUGAAGAGUCUGAAACCUGACUCCAGGUCUGGUGUGAUCUUGUG